Molecule: ribosomal RNA, 801 nt
Filed under: uncultured bacterium
Lineage: Bacteria
Description: bacterial SSU rRNA
Rfam family: Bacterial small subunit ribosomal RNA
Source: RNAcentral
AACGCUAGCUACAGGCUUAACACAUGCAAGUCGCGGGGUAACGACGGAGAAAGCUUGCUUUUUCCGGGCGACGACCGGCGCACGGGUGAGUAACGCGUAUCCAACCUGCCCUAUACAAAGGCACAGCCCGGCGAAAGUCGGAUUAAUGCCUUAUGAAGUGAGAAGAAGACAUCUGAUUUUCACUAAAGCUGAGGCGGUAUAGGAUGGGGAUGCGUCCGAUUAGGUAGACGGCGGGGUAACGGCCCACCGUGCCGACGAUCGGUAGGGGUUCUGAGAGGAAGGUCCCCCACACUGGAACUGAGACACGGUCCAGACUCCUACGGGAGGCAGCAGUGAGGAAUAUUGGUCAAUGGGCGAUAGCCUGAACCAGCCAAGUAGCGUGAGGGAAGACGGCCCUAUGGGUUGUAAACCUCUUUAGUCCGGGAAUAAAGUGGGCGACGUGUCGCCUAUUGCAUGUACCGGAAGAAUAAGGACCGGCUAAUUCCGUGCCAGCAGCCGCGGUAAUACGGAAGGUCCGGGCGUUAUCCGGAUUUAUUGGGUUUAAAGGGAGCGCAGGCGGUCUGAUAAGCGGGCAGUGAAAGACGGUGGCUCAACCAUCGAGGUGCUGUCCGAACUGUCGGACUUGAGUACGUGCGAGGCAGGCGGAAUUCGUGGUGUAGCGGUGAAAUGCUUAGAUAUCACGAAGAACCCCGAUUGCGAAGGCAGCUUGCCAGUGCGCCACUGACGCUAAAGCUCGAAAGUGCGGGUAUCGAACAGGAUUAGAUACCCUGGUAGUCCGCACGGUAAACGAUGGAUGCUCGC